This 814-nucleotide long non-coding RNA is filed under the name Setaria viridis. RNAcentral's name for it is "long non-coding RNA (SVIR_LNC009024)". The record is from RNAcentral. Lineage: Eukaryota; Viridiplantae; Streptophyta; Magnoliopsida; Poales; Poaceae.
UGUGACCAAGUCGUAAUUCGUCCAAUACCGUGGACACGGCUACCCGGAUAGGUUUUAACUCUGCAGAGGGUGUACACUUUUCCCACAAGUAGGGUACCGUAGCACAAUCACCUUAGUGACGGUACGGAUCCUAACAAAGCCAUUACCCACCUUAGCUAAGACUGGCUAGUUCUCGCGGAAACACCCAAGGGGUUCACGGCUCGUUCAGGAGACCGUAACCGGGACUUAAGUCACCAAGAUCUUACUCCUGUUCCAUGGGUUCCCGUUGCUCACCAGCACCCCUGAGGACUAACCAUCCAGCUAGUGGGAUUUAUGCUAAGCCGUUGCCCAUACAACGGUCGAGUGGUUGCACGAUAGUGGAAUUAGGCAAGAUGACACAUCAACUCGGUCCUUAAUUAUGACCGGAUGGAUAUCUCCCGACAUUGCUCAACCACCAAGGUACGAGCACAGCAACUGGGCAUCCCACACAAGGAACACCCAUCCAUCCCGUCCACACAUUCCUUUUUCCCGAACCCAAAAGCCAUUCCUCUUACUUGGACACACACACACAUUGAUUUUCCGAGUACACCAUUGUAAUAAUGAUUGCAUUUGAGUAACAGAUUCCUAAGCGUUCUAGCGGCGGUUAUCAACUAAACAGAGCGAGUCAUAUUUAGAGAUAAGCAUAGGACAACAAGGAAUGUUCAUAUCAAUCAAGGGGUGGCUAUCCAACCAUGUCUUGCGAUAAAGUAAUAUGCAUUUUGUAAAAAAGGCCAAUAGGUUGUGUUUGAAAAACUAGGUAUUAAGUAUGCAUCAAAAGGGUGAGAUUGGACUUGCC